This is a long non-coding RNA of Vombatus ursinus (common wombat), 731 nucleotides long. RefSeq lists it as uncharacterized. NCBI's taxonomy places the organism in Eukaryota, Metazoa, Chordata, Mammalia, Diprotodontia, Vombatidae. The transcript is spliced from 3 exons. The record is from RefSeq and is a predicted model, not a curated record.
UUGGAAUUCAGGGCUGGUAGAGAAGGAAUAAUCUGGGGAACUGAAGUCCAAGGGCAACUGGAAAGACAGGAAAGUCAGGAAAGCUCUGGGGAAGAGCAGAAAUAUCAGGUAAGCGAAGAUGGAACUGCCCAAAGGCUAGAACAAGACAACAGGGAAAGGGUGUCAGCACAGAACUGGGAAGGAGACUGCUGGCAAGAAGGCUCUGGAGAUGGCUUAAAGAAAUGGCCAGCAGACAUCAGUGAUAGACAAAAGAGGAAAAACAGAAGAGGAUUGAGCGACGCAGGAAGCCGGAGAGAACGCGUUGACUGGGGAAGCCCAGGAAGGAGAAGGUGGACAGGAAAGACUCACCAUCCAUCCUCAGGAACUGUCGAUCAGAAGCAAAGGAGACCAGCAAAAGGAUGACAGCUGGAGUGAAGAGAAGCUUGCUGCCCGGGGAAGGGAGAACAAGGAGGAAACCCCUUCAGCUUCACAUUUACGUAAGUUGGCCAAUGCAACAGAGGAGUCACCCCCUGUAAUUGUGGGAGGUCCAGAGGAUGGUCCGAACAAUGAAGGUGCCCAAGUAGGAGCAAGCCAGUGAUGGAUGAGAUUGUCAAGGUCAAGAAAGAAAUAUCUGCCAUGGGAACUCCAGGAGUCAAUAUGGUGAAUAGCUAUUUGUCUAAUAACGCAUGAAGUGGCUCUGAGGAGAGAGUGCUGAACUCAGAGGCAGGUUCAGACACCUACUGACUGGGUGA